GGAGAUAUAGCUCAGCAGUAGAGUGAGUACCUACUCAGCAAGUGUGAAGAAGCCCUGAGUUCAAAUCUCAGUGCUGCCA
This 79-nucleotide transfer RNA is filed under the name Dipodomys ordii (Ord's kangaroo rat). It matches the Rfam family "tRNA". Rfam says of the family: Transfer RNA (tRNA) molecules are approximately 80 nucleotides in length. Their secondary structure includes four short double-helical elements and three loops (D, anti-codon, and T loops). Lineage: Eukaryota; Metazoa; Chordata; Mammalia; Rodentia; Heteromyidae. The record is from Rfam by way of RNAcentral.